CGAACGCUGGCGGCGUGCCUAAUACAUGCAAGUAGAACGCUGAAGAGAGGAGCUUGCUCUUCUUGGAUGAGUUGCGAACGGGUGAGUAACGCGUAGGGUAACCUGCCUGGUAGCGGGGGAUAACUAUUGGAAACGAUAGCUAAUACCCGCAUAAAAUUGAUUAUUGCAUGAUAAUUAAUUGAAAGAUGCAAUUGCAUCACUACCAGAUGGACCUGCGUUGUAUUAGCUAGUUGGUGAGGUAACGGCUCACCAAGGCGACGAUAUAUAGCCGACCUGAGAGGGUGAUCGGCCACACUGGGACUGAGACACGGCCCAGACUCCUACGGGAGGCAGCAGUAGGGAAUCUUCGGCAAUUGGGGGAA
Molecule: ribosomal RNA, 362 nt
Filed under: Streptococcus sanguinis
Lineage: Bacteria; Bacillati; Bacillota; Bacilli; Lactobacillales; Streptococcaceae
Description: bacterial SSU rRNA
Rfam family: Bacterial small subunit ribosomal RNA
Source: RNAcentral